GUUUGAUCUUCUUGCAGUCCAUGGGACUCUCAAGAGUCUCCUCCAGCACCAUAAUUCAAAAGCAUCAAUUCUUCGGCGAUCAGCCUUCUUUAUGGUCCAGCUCUCACUUCCUAGUUAAAAGUAUAAGUCGGCAAAUAUGUCCCCUUUUUUUGCUCUUCAAAAUAUGGCAGCCCUACAUGAUACCAUCCCACCAUGCUUCUGGUGCCUCACAUUAUCCUUCCAUUGCUGGGGACUAUGAGUGAUGUCCUGCUUGCAGGCUUCCCACAAGCAUCUGGUUGGCCAUUGAGGAAACAGAAUAGAUGGGCCUUUGGUCUCACCCCCCAGGGCUCCUUCUUACCUUCAUAACUUCACAUUGACAAUCCUUGGAUAAGAGAGAAGGCGUACUGUCUUCCAUGACAGACUCUUUCUUGCCAGAAUGUUUACUUCCAGCAGUUGGUCUACUGCAGUCACCUCCUUUCUCGGCUCUCUUUAAUAUUCUUAACAGCUAAAAUUCACAGAUGGUUGCACGAUCCACAAAAUUCACAUAGCAACCACAUUGCAGCCUUUCCUGUGAGCUUGUAGGACAGAACAGCUUGAUAACAGAAGACGGGAACAGUUUGGGUGGGGAGAGAGAGGAUCAUUUUCUUACAUAAUAGAAAUAGAGCAUCUCCCAAACCCCAGCUUUUAUAUAAAGUGUCAGGAAGUACGAAUGUACUGUUGUGCAAAUAAAAGGAUAAUAUUAUUUCCAGCCACUACAAGAGUAACUGUAAAUACAAAAUGGACACAUUCUUCCAGCAAUAUAUGCAUUCUUUAAAAAAAGGGUAAGGAGUUGGGGUUGUGUGCAAGAAACAUCCCAACUGCUUAUGCUACAUUUUGUUUUAAAUAUAGCUGGCCGGCAGAAAAGAGCAAAGGAAUCUGCCUUAUACAGGUUAAGACCAUCUCGCUCUGCAUUGUUUACACUGGCAUGCAGAAACUCCCCAGAAUUUCAAACAAGAGCCUUUUGCAGCCUUAUGUGGAAAUGCCAAGGACAGAACCUGUGGCCUUCUGUAUGCAAUGCAACUGCUUUACCACUGAACUGUGGCCCUUGCCGUAGACAUGUCUGGUAGAAGUGGAUUUGGCUAGAAAAACUGAGUUAGAUUCAUCUGUGUACGUCUCUGAUCAACCCUGCCAUAUAAAUACUUGCCUGUUUUAUCUUAUCCAGGAAUAUGGGUCUUUGCGAGGCUUUUGCAAAAAGCUUUGGUUGUGAGUAGCCAACAUGGAGUCCUCCAGAUGUUGUUGAUGCCAGCUGCCAGAGACACAGCAUUGCCAAUUAUCUCUAUGUUGCACCAGAGUUCAACAUCACCUGAACUGUGUAAAAGAAGAUGUUCAGUGCCACAACCAAGAAGACUCGCUUCCACAAAGACACAAGGUGACAUUCCACUGACCAUGGCAUAGCUGGCAAGGCCUCCCCUGAGGUGACUGUCCACCAAGUACAAAAAUACAGGUCAAGCAUAGGUGGAGGUGCAGGUUAAACACUCUGACAAAACCCCAAAGUGCAUUGAUUCCACCUCAGGUCUUCUUGGUGGAACAGGCUGGACCUUCAAGAUGCUUUGGCAAAGCCCAUGGUUCUCUGACUGAAUCAAAAUGUAGCCUUGUCCUUGCCCUUUGCACACCACUGGACACCUAGCUGAAGUGGAGGGGGAAGGAUGAUAAUGAUAAAUCAUCUCUGCCCAUUACCUAUACUUUUUUGGGCCAUCUUUGUUCCCAUGGCAACGUAUCACUGGGGUAUUUGCCUCACAAAGCCAUAAGCCAGGCUAGAUUUGGUCAACUGGUUCAAGCACUUUAGAACACAGCCUAAACACCUUACUCAAAACACUGUUCUCCUGUGCUGAAUGUAAACUGCUCUGGGAGCAUGGCUGGGCUGAAAGUGUGGGAUACAAAACAGGAAAUAAGCAUUUACCAAAAUCCAUACCCAGUUUUUCUGUCAAAUACUCAGCGUGGCUCCGCAGAUGGCUACUUUAACCCACACCGAAGCUGCAGAAAACUGGAAGUGAUAACAUGAAAGCCUUGCCCUAGUUUGCCUUUCCUUGGGGGGCGGAAUGAGGAGAGGGAGUGAGGAGGGGGAAAGGGAAAGAAAAGAAGAGGCAGUUUCUCCAGCCAAGCAUGGACUUCCCUGUUGGAGCAGGGGCAGGCAUUUGAAGAGCAUCCCUAACUUGGCACAGAGAGAGAGAGAGAGAGAGAGAGAGAGAGAGAGAGAGAGAGAGAGAGAAAGGGAGGGAGGGAGGGAGAGAGAGCAUAGCAGAGUGGAACUACAGGACAAACUGUGUCCUGUAUUGAAUCAAUAGGGGAUGUAGUAUUUUACAUUGAACUACAGGACAAUCCUAUAUUAUACGGGACGGGUGGCAACACUACUCAUACAGUGUGAGAAGCUGUUCCAGAGCUGUUUAACCUGAGACCUAUUUAGUUCCACCCAAGCCCCUGGCUGUGUACAGGGGCCCUGCAGGCUGCUUGACACACACACAAAACCCUAAAGGAGUUACACCUUUGGAAGUGGAAAGUAAGAUUGCCAUGAUUGCUGCCUCCACCAGAAAAUGAAUGGUCCCGCUGUGCUGAGUGCGAAGACCUCCCUUGAAUAUUUAAUAAUGGGAAUAUGAUUCACUAAGAGGCAGGGUGGGUGACAGUAAUUAAGGGGAUUCUAUCAGGAAUGCCUGCCUUGCAAGCAGAAGUGUACAAUCCCCACACUGACCCCAUGCUGACAUUUUGUUAUUCAUCCCCAGGUGUGGGUCUUUGUAAUAGAUGACUGGAAGUCGAAAGCUCUCCCUUGCCGAAGCCUAGUGGCCUUGGUGAGCUUUGCUUUUUAAAUAUUGUUUUUGAGUCAAGAAGACUGUGCCAUUGUUUGCUGGAUUGAGGAAAUGCUUUCUAAUAACAGCAGCAUUUGGUUGGGCUUUAUUUUUAGUAAAACAAAAUGAAAUAAAUACUAAUUUCUGUAACAACCUAGCAAAACAGGGUAUUUUAUGAGCCCUCAUUAGGACACUAUGCAAUCCGUCAAAACUAGGUUGCUCAUUUAAUGACUGCUGCUGGUCGCACUCGGAAUAAAAAGACAGUGAGGCACAGUGGUUUGCCAAGCCUUAAGGAUUAUUGCUACAUUACCCAUAUCAUUUCUGAAAUGGUUUUUAGUUGGUUAAAAACAAACCCUAAAACCAAACAGAGAAAAGAGAGAUUAUGCCAGUGACAGCAGA
This 3197-nucleotide long non-coding RNA is filed under the name Podarcis lilfordi (Lilford's wall lizard). The record is from RNAcentral. Lineage: Eukaryota; Metazoa; Chordata; Lepidosauria; Squamata; Lacertidae.